RNAcentral lists this ribosomal RNA (401 nucleotides) under uncultured bacterium. RNAcentral describes it as "partial 16S ribosomal RNA". It matches the Rfam family "Bacterial small subunit ribosomal RNA", at positions 29 to 526 of the family's 1533-position model. The record is from RNAcentral.
AUUGAACGCUGGCGGCAGGCCUAACACAUGCAAGUCGAGCGAGCGGCGGACGGGUGAGUAAUGUAUGGGGACUGCCCGAUAGAGGGGGAUAACUACUGGAAACGGUGGCUAAUACCGCAUACUAUCGGAUAACCCAUAUGGGAUUAGCUAGUAGGUGGGGUAAAGGCUCACCUAGGCGACGAUCUCUAGCUGGUCUGAGAGGAUGAUCAGCCACUGUGGGACUGAGACGCGGCACAGUCUCAGGGGGAGGCAGGUGGGGAAAAUAGCGCAAAAGGGGCGAGAGUGUGAUGCAGACAUGCCGCGUGUAAGAAGGGGGCCUGAGGGUUGUAAAGUUCUUUCAGCGGAGAGACGUUACCCGCAGAAGAAGCACCGGCUAACUCUGCGCCAGGCCGCGGUAAUAC